GACCUAGGCCAGAGGGAACUUGGGCUCAGGGUGGGGUUCCUGGUCCUUUGGGCGUGGAGUCGUCUCAAACCCAGAAGGCCUCCUGCUGCAGCCACCCCUGCUACCUGCCCACAGGUGGUCCGAGUCUACUGCUAUGUGACUGUGGUGAGCUUGCAGUACCUGACGCCGCUCAUCCUCACCCUCAACUGCACACUUCUGCUCAAGACGCUGGGAGGCUAUUCCUGGGGCCUGGGCCCAGCUCCUCUACUAUCCCCUGACCCAUCCUCAGCCCGUGCUGCCCCCAUCGGCUCCAGUGAGGACGAAGUCCAGCAGACUGCAGCGCGGAUCGCCGGGGCCGUGGGUGGCCUGCUUCCGCCCCUCCUCCUCCGUGGCGUCCUGGCCUACCUCAUCUGGUGGACGGCUGCCUGCCAGCUGCUCUCCAGCCUUUUCGGCCUCUACUUCCACCAGCACUUGGCAGGCUCCUAGCUGCCUGCAGACCCUCCUGGGGCCCUGAGGCAGCGCCCCCGUGUCCCCAGAUGCAAGGUGGGGCCGGACUCCCCGGCGUUCCCUUCACCGCAGUGCCUGAGCCGCGGCCCCCAUUGGACGCCGAGUUUCUGCCUCAGAACUGUCUCUCCUG
Molecule: small RNA, 616 nt
Filed under: Pongo abelii (Sumatran orangutan)
Lineage: Eukaryota; Metazoa; Chordata; Mammalia; Primates; Hominidae
Description: retained intron
Source: RNAcentral